RNAcentral lists this unclassified non-coding RNA (1743 nucleotides) under Hevea brasiliensis (rubber tree). The record is from RNAcentral. Lineage: Eukaryota; Viridiplantae; Streptophyta; Magnoliopsida; Malpighiales; Euphorbiaceae.
GUCAUAAUUAAAAUGCAAUAAGAUGUUCGCAAUCAUUCCUUUACUUCCAAAGUAUAACAAAUUCAAACACCAAUAUUUACAGAGGAGAGUUGAAUGUGGUCACAAUCACACGUUGCCAUUUCAUUCAACAGUUUGAAGAGCUUAUGGUACACUUCAGCGCACGCCACCACCAGCAGCAUUUCUCUAACUAUAGUUGUCAAGGUGGAGGAACCCUUACAUAUUUUAUUCUCAAUGCUCUUACCCUUGAAAGAAUCUUGAACAAACAACAUGGAAUAUUAAUAUAGUUCCCCUUAAAGUAACUGAAACAGGAAAAAAGAGUUAACACAUAUACAGUAACCGCAGAUUUUUCAUCUUUAUUUAUGCACUCAACACACAUAUAGGUAGACCAUUCAUCAACACAAUAAUAUCACGAGUUUGAUCCUUACAGAACUAAGACCAAACUUGAUAGUUCAAAUAUUAACAAGCACACAUAUAUUAUCCCUAACAAAAUAACACCAAAAAAAAGAAAAAAAAAAAUUCAACCAAAGCGACAUUCCUUAGGAGAUAUGAAGGCUCUUAUUCAGUCUUAUACGUAAAACAAACACCGGCAAGACAAUUACUGACCCAGAAUUCGCUUCUUGUAAAAUUCAACAAGCUCUUUAGGAUCUGUUUUUGUCUGCUUGUAAGCCCCAAGCUUGUUUAUCUCCUGCACAUGGAUUUUGUGAAAAGAAAAGUUACCAACCAACAAAUUAGCACUCUUGCCCAACAACCACUCACUCUUUUACAAGAUCCUUGUUUAAUAUUAGAAUUAAGCAGUACUUCAAAAUUUGUUCCAAUGUUGAGCUGUGCAGCAGCAAAUGAUUGUUCACAAGCUCAGGACAACAAGAAGAUGCUAAGAAUGAGCCUUGAUGAAACUCAAACAUAGAGAAGGUCUAGAACACUGAGUUGCAGAUAACGGAUGUCUUUGUACAGGAGGAAGAAGAAAGGUGGUUUCGUGCAUAUGCAAGGAGAAGCUCACCAACGGGUGUCUUUGUACUGGAGGAAGAAGAAAGGUGGUUGUGUGCAUAUGCAAAGAGAAGCUCACCAAGGGGGAAGAAAAUGGAUAACUGAGAGAAGAGAACAAAUUUUGACCCAAAAAAAAUAAAUAAAUAAAAGAGAGAGUGAGCGAGUGAGCUAACAAGUAAUCGGUGUACUAAGCUGGCACAUUAUUAAUGAGAAGAAAAAAAUUAAAAAGCCCUAAUCCAGAUCUAGUAAGCUAAUGAGCCACAGACAAGAAUCAAGCAUGAAGACAAAAUGAUUUGGCCUACAAGCUCCAAUCAAAUCAUCAACAUGAGAACAAAAUGCAAGGGUGAUUCAGCAUCAGAAACGUGCUGUUCUGGUCCAUUGCUCCACAUUAUAAAAUACAAGAGUGCAAAAAUCUAGCAAGUAUGGUAGUCCAUAAGUACUUGGUGGAUCAAGAAACCAAGCAAGGUAGAAACCACAAGCUCAAUAAGCUUAGAAGUAUUCCAAAUGCGAGAGCCGGACUAAUAAAUAUUCACAGAACACAACAUUAUAAAAAUAGUUCUUUGAAAUAUUUAAUGAUAGCCAAGGGAUGGUAAAAGCCGCAGAUAAUUACAUACAACUGAGUAUAUUUCGGGAAGGUAGAAUUACAAAAUCUCCUGACAUUUGGCAGAUAUACAAUUAAGUCUUUUCCUUUCAAAAUGAAUUAUAAAGUCCUUGACUUUUCAAAUUUGCCACACUUAAAUGAGAAAUUCUAAGAUCCCU